Molecule: ribosomal RNA, 1489 nt
Filed under: uncultured bacterium
Lineage: Bacteria
Description: 16S ribosomal RNA
Rfam family: Bacterial small subunit ribosomal RNA
Source: RNAcentral
CAUGGCUCAGAUUGAACGCUGGCGGCAGGCCUAACACAUGCAAGUCGAGCGGAUGAAGGGAGCUUGCUCCUGGAUUCAGCGGCGGACGGGUGAGUAAUGCCUAGGAAUCUGCCUGGUAAUGGGGGAUAACGUCCGGAAACGGGCGCUAAUACCGCAUACGUCCUGAGGGAGAAAGUGGGGGAUCUUCGGACCUCACGCUAUCAGAUGAGCCUAGGUCGGAUUAGCUAGUUGGUGGGGUAAAGGCCUACCAAGGCGACGAUCCGUAACUGGUCUGAGAGGAUGAUCAGUCACACUGGAACUGAGACACGGUCCAGACUCCUACGGGAGGCAGCAGUGGGGAAUAUUGGACAAUGGGCGAAAGCCUGAUCCAGCCAUGCCGCGUGUGUGAAGAAGGUCUUCGGAUUGUAAAGCACUUUAAGUUGGGAGGAAGGGCAGUAAGUUAAUACCUUGCUGUUUUGACGUUACCAACAGAAUAAGCACCGGCUAACUUCGUGCCAGCAGCCGCGGUAAUACGAAGGGUGCAAGCGUUAAUCGGAAUUACUGGGCGUAAAGCGCGCGUAGGUGGUUCAGCAAGUUGGAUGUGAAAUCCCCGGGCUCAACCUGGGAACUGCAUCCAAAACUACUGAGCUAGAGUACGGUAGAGGGUGGUGGAAUUUCCUGUGUAGCGGUGAAAUGCGUAGAUAUAGGAAGGAACACCAGUGGCGAAGGCGACCACCUGGACUGAUACUGACACUGAGGUGCGAAAGCGUGAGGAGCAAACAGGAUUAGAUACCCUGGUAGUCCACGCCGUAAACGAUGUCGACUAGCCGUUGGGAUCCUUGAGAUCUUAGUGGCGCAGCUAACGCGAUAAGUCGACCGCCUGGGGAGUACGGCCGCAAGGUUAAAACUCAAAUGAAUUGACGGGGGCCCGCACAAGCGGUGGAGCAUGUGGUUUAAUUCGAAGCAACGCGGAGAACCUUACCUGGCCUUGACAUGCUGAGAACUUUCCAGAGAUGGAUUGGUGCCUUCGGGAACUCAGACACAGGUGCUGCAUGGCUGUCGUCAGCUCGUGUCGUGAGAUGUUGGGUUAAGUCCCGUAACGAGCGCAACCCUUGUCCUUAGUUACCAGCACCUCGGGUGGGCACUCUAAGGAGACUGCCGGUGACAAACCGGAGGAAGGUGGGGAUGACGUCAAGUCAUCAUGGCCCUUACGGCCAGGGCUACACACGUGCUACAAUGGUCGGUACAAAGGGUUGCCAAGCCGCGAGGUGGAGCUAAUCCCAUAAAACCGAUCGUAGUCCGGAUCGCAGUCUGCAACUCGACUGCGUGAAGUCGGAAUCGCUAGUAAUCGUGAAUCAGAAUGUCACGGUGAAUACGUUCCCGGGCCUUGUACACACCGCCCGUCACACCAUGGGAGUGGGUUGCUCCAGAAGUAGCUAGUCUAACCGCAAGGGGGACGGUUACCACGGAGUGAUUCAUGACUGGGGUGAAGUCGUAACAAGGUAACCGU